This 480-nucleotide ribosomal RNA is filed under the name uncultured bacterium. Its description in RNAcentral is "partial 16S ribosomal RNA". It matches the Rfam family "Bacterial small subunit ribosomal RNA", at positions 28 to 507 of the family's 1533-position model. The record is from RNAcentral.
GACGAACGCUGGCGGCGUGCUUAACACAUGCAAGUUGAACGAGAAUUUUUCGAGUGAUUUCUUCGGAAUGAUCAUGAAAAAGGAUAGUAGCGAACGGGUGAGUAACACGUGAGAAACCUGCCUUUCACAAAGGGAUAGCCUCGGGAAACCGGGAUUAAUACCUUAUGAAACCAAACACUCGCAUGAGAGAUUGGUUAAAGAUUUAUCGGAGUUAGAUGGUCUCGCGUCUGAUUAGCUAGUUGGUGGGAUAAAAGCCUACCAAGGCAACGAUCAGUAGCCGGAUUGAGAGGUUGAACGGCCACUCUGGAACUGAGACACGGUCCAGACUCCUACGGGAGGCAGCAGUGGGGAAUUUUGCACAAUGGAGGAAACUCUGAUGCAGCGACGCCGCGUGAGUGAUGAAGGUCUUCGGAUUGUAAAACUCUGUCCUUAGUGAAGAUAAUGACAGUAACUAAGAAGCAAGCCCUGGCUAAAUACGUG